CUCCGCUUGGUGUAGUUGGUUUAUCACGUUCGGCUGUAAUAUAAAUUGUUACCGAAAGGUCCCUAGUUCGAUUCUGGGAGCGGAGA
RNAcentral lists this transfer RNA (86 nucleotides) under Pyrenochaeta sp. DS3sAY3a. Its description in RNAcentral is "tRNA-Tyr". It matches the Rfam family "tRNA". Rfam says of the family: Transfer RNA (tRNA) molecules are approximately 80 nucleotides in length. The record is from RNAcentral. Lineage: Eukaryota; Fungi; Ascomycota; Dothideomycetes; Pleosporales; Cucurbitariaceae.